CUAAACUGGGAGAGGUUGACCAAUACUGUCAUUCUAGAGUGGAGAAGAGGUAAACGGAAUUCCGCGUGUAGUGGUGAAAUGCGUAGAGAUGCGGAAGAACACCAGUGGCGAAGGCGGUUUACUGGUCUCCAACUGACACUCAGACGCGAAAGCAUGGGUAGCGAACGGGAUUAGAAACCCCGGUAGUCCAUGCCGUAAACGAUGCACACUAAACGUUCGUAGUCCGCGAGGGCUGUGAGUGUUGAAGCAAACGCGAUAAGUGUGCCGCCUGGGGAGUACGGUCGCAAGGCUAAAACUCAAAGGAAUUGACGGGGGCCCGCACAAGCAGCGGAGCGUGUGGUUUAAUUCGAGGGUACGCGAAGAACCUUACCUGGGUUUGACAUAUAGGUGGUACUCGAGGGAAACUGAGAGGACUCUUCGGAGAGCC
Molecule: ribosomal RNA, 427 nt
Filed under: uncultured bacterium
Lineage: Bacteria
Description: bacterial SSU rRNA
Rfam family: Bacterial small subunit ribosomal RNA
Source: RNAcentral